RNAcentral lists this long non-coding RNA (214 nucleotides) under Lathyrus oleraceus (garden pea). RNAcentral's name for it is "Pisum sativum (pea) long non-coding RNA (PSAT_LNC013144)". The record is from RNAcentral. Lineage: Eukaryota; Viridiplantae; Streptophyta; Magnoliopsida; Fabales; Fabaceae.
UUUUAUUUUAUUUUUUAAAAAUAGCAAAAAUACUCAAAAAAAUCUGAAAUUUUUCGUGAGUGAUCCCUGAUGAGUCCUUGACUUUUUGGUGCCAUUGCCCAAUUAUUUCAUGACACGUGGAAUUUAAUAUGAAUUUCUGAUCCAUUUAUGUGCAUUUUCGACCAUUUGCAUUAAAACCUUCAUGAAAUCCCAUAUUUUAACCAUUCUGACCCAA